UACGGAGGGUGCAAGCGUUAUCCGGAAUUACUGGGCGUAAAGCGUGCGUAGACGGUUAUUUAAGUCGGGUGUGAAAGCCCCGGGCUCAACCUGGGAAUUGCAUUCGAGACUGAAUAGCUAGGGUACGGUAGAGGGAAGCGGAAUUUCCGGUGUAGCGGUGAAAUGCGUAGAUAUCGGAAGGAACAUCAGUGGCGAAAGCGGCUUCCUGGACCAGUACCGACGUUCAGGCACGAAAGCGUGGGGAGCAAACAGG
This 253-nucleotide ribosomal RNA is filed under the name uncultured bacterium. RNAcentral describes it as "partial 16S ribosomal RNA". It matches the Rfam family "Bacterial small subunit ribosomal RNA", at positions 524 to 776 of the family's 1533-position model. The record is from RNAcentral.